CCUACGGGUGGCAGCAGUGGGGAAUAUUGCACAAUGGGGGAAACCCUGAUGCAGCGACGCCGCGUGAGUGAGGAAGUACUUCGGUAUGUAAAGCUCUAUCAGCAGGGAAGAAAAUGACGGUACCUGUCUAUGAAGCCCCGGCUAACUACGUGCCAGCAGCCGCGGUCAUACGUAGGGGGCAAGCCUUAUGCGGAUUUACUGGGUGUAAAGGGAGCGUGGAUGGUUAAUCAAGUCAGAAGGGAAAACCCAGGGGUCAACCUGGGGACUGCUUUUGAAACUGAGUAGCUUGAGUGCAGGAGAGGGGAGCGGAAUUCCGGGGGUAGCGGUGAAAUGCGUAGAGAUUAGGAGGAACACC
This 355-nucleotide ribosomal RNA is filed under the name uncultured bacterium. RNAcentral describes it as "partial 16S ribosomal RNA". It matches the Rfam family "Bacterial small subunit ribosomal RNA", at positions 338 to 710 of the family's 1533-position model. The record is from RNAcentral.